RNAcentral lists this ribosomal RNA (253 nucleotides) under uncultured bacterium. Its description in RNAcentral is "partial 16S ribosomal RNA". It matches the Rfam family "Bacterial small subunit ribosomal RNA", at positions 524 to 776 of the family's 1533-position model. The record is from RNAcentral.
UACAUGGGGUGCAAACGUUGCUCGGAAUUAUUGGGCGUAAAGCGCACGUAGGCGGUUCGUUAGGUCAGUGGUGAAAGCCCGCGGCUCAACCGUGGAAUUGCCAUUGAAACUGAAUAGCUUGAGUACAGUUGAAGUGGGCGGAAUACAUCAUGUAGCGGUGAAAUGCUUAGAUAUGAUGUAGAACACCGAUUGCGAAGGCAGCUCACUAAGCUGUAACUGACACUGAGGCACGAAAGCGUGGGUAGCGAACAGG